UUAAGCGACUAAGCGUACACGGUGGAUGCCCUGGCAGUCAGAGGCGAUGAAGGACGUGCUAAUCUGCGAAAAGCGUCGGUAAGGUGAUAUGAACCGUUAUAACCGGCGAUGUCCGAAUGGGGAAACCCAGUGUGAUUCGUCACACUAUCGUUAACUGAAUACAUAGGUUAACGAGGCGAACCGGGGGAACUGAAACAUCUAAGUACCCCGAGGAAAAGAAAUCAACCGAGAUUCCCCCAGUAGCGGCGAGCGAACGGGGAGCAGCCCAGAGUCUGAAUCAGCUUGUGUGUUAGUGGAACGGUCUGGAAAGUCCGACGGUACAGGGUGAUAGUCCCGUACACCAAAAUGCACAGGUUGUGAACUCGAAGAGUAGGGCGGGACACGUGGUAUCCUGUCUGAAUAUGGGGGGACCAUCCUCCAAGGCUAAAUACUCCUGACUGACCGAUAGUGAACCAGUACCGUGAGGGAAAGGCGAAAAGAACCCCGGCGAGGGGAGUGAAAAAGAACCUGAAACCGUGUACGUACAAGCAGUGGGAGCACCUUCGGGUGUGACUGCGUACCUUUUGUAUAAUGGGUCAGCGACUUAUAUUCUGUAGCAAGGUUAACCGUAUAGGGGAGCCGCAGGGAAACCGAGUCUUAACUGGGCGUUAAGUUGCAGGGUAUAGACCCGAAACCCGGUGAUCUAGCCAUGGGCAGGUUGAAGGUUGGGUAACACUAACUGGAGGACCGAACCGACUAAUGUUGAAAAAUUAGCGGAUGACUUGUGGCUGGGGGUGAAAGGCCAAUCAAACCGGGAGAUAGCUGGUUCUCCCCGAAAGCUAUUUAGGUAGCGCCUCGUGAAUUCAUCUUCGGGGGUAGAGCACUGUUUCGGCUAGGGGGUCAUCCCGACUUACCAACCCGAUGCAAACUACGAAUACCGAAGAAUGUUAUCACGGGAGACACACGGCGGGUGCUAACGUCCGUCGUGAAGAGGGAAACAACCCAGACCGCCAGCUAAGGUCCCAAAGUCAUGGUUAAGUGGGAAACGAUGUGGGAAGGCACAGACAGCCAGGAUGUUGGCUUAGAAGCAGCCAUCAUUUAAAGAAAGCGUAAUAGCUCACUGGUCGAGUCGGCCUGCGCGGAAGAUGUAACGGGGCUAAACCAUGCACCGAAGCUGCGGCAGCGACACUAUGUGUUGUUGGGUAGGGGAGCGUUCUGUAAGCCUGCGAAGGUGACCUGUGAGGGUUGCUGGAGGUAUCAGAAGUGCGAAUGCUGACAUAAGUAACGAUAAAGCGGGUGAAAAGCCCGCUCGCCGGAAGACCAAGGGUUCCUGUCCAACGUUAAUCGGGGCAGGGUGAGUCGACCCCUAAGGCGAGGCCGAAAGGCGUAGUCGAUGGGAAACAGGUUAAUAUUCCUGUACUUGGUGUUACUGCGAAGGGGGGACGGAGAAGGCUAUGUUAGCCGGGCGACGGUUGUCCCGGUUUAAGCAUGUAGGCUGGUUGUCCAGGCAAAUCCGGAUAAUCAAGGCUGAGGUGUGAUGACGAGGCACUACGGUGCUGAAGUAACAAAUGCCCUGCUUCCAGGAAAAGCCUCUAAGCAUCAGGUAACAUCAAAUCGUACCCCAAACCGACACAGGUGGUCAGGUAGAGAAUACCAAGGCGCUUGAGAGAACUCGGGUGAAGGAACUAGGCAAAAUGGUGCCGUAACUUCGGGAGAAGGCACGCUGGUGUGUAGGUGAAGUCCCUGCGGAUGGAGCUGAGACCAGUCGAAGAUACCAGCUGGCUGCAACUGUUUAUUAAAAACACAGCACUGUGCAAACACGAAAGUGGACGUAUACGGUGUGACGCCUGCCCGGUGCCGGAAGGUUAAUUGAUGGGGUUAUCCGUAAGGAGAAGCUCUUGAUCGAAGCCCCGGUAAACGGCGGCCGUAACUAUAACGGUCCUAAGGUAGCGAAAUUCCUUGUCGGGUAAGUUCCGACCUGCACGAAUGGCGUAAUGAUGGCCAGGCUGUCUCCACCCGAGACUCAGUGAAAUUGAACUCGCUGUGAAGAUGCAGUGUACCCGCGGCAAGACGGAAAGACCCCGUGAACCUUUACUAUAGCUUGACACUGAACAUUGAGCCUUGAUGUGUAGGAUAGGUGGGAGGCUUUGAAGCGUGGACGCCAGUCUGCGUGGAGCCAACCUUGAAAUACCACCCUUUAAUGUUUGAUGUUCUAACGUUGGCCCCUGACCGGGGUUGCGGACAGUGUCUGGUGGGUAGUUUGACUGGGGCGGUCUCCUCCCAAAGCGUAACGGAGGAGCACGAAGGUUAGCUAAUCCUGGUCGGACAUCAGGAGGUUAGUGCAAUGGCAUAAGCUAGCUUGACUGCGAGCGUGACGGCGCGAGCAGGUGCGAAAGCAGGUCAUAGUGAUCCGGUGGUUCUGAAUGGAAGGGCCAUCGCUCAACGGAUAAAAGGUACUCCGGGGAUAACAGGCUGAUACCGCCCAAGAGUUCAUAUCGACGGCGGUGUUUGGCACCUCGAUGUCGGCUCAUCACAUCCUGGGGCUGAAGUAGGUCCCAAGGGUAUGGCUGUUCGCCAUUUAAAGUGGUACGCGAGCUGGGUUUAGAACGUCGUGAGACAGUUCGGUCCCUAUCUGCCGUGGGCGCUGGAGAAUUGAGGGGGGCUGCUCCUAGUACGAGAGGACCGGAGUGGACGCAUCACUGGUGUUCGGGUUGUCAUGCCAAUGGCACUGCCCGGUAGCUAAAUGCGGAAGAGAUAAGUGCUGAAAGCAUCUAAGCACGAAACUUGCCCCGAGAUGAGUUCUCCCUGAGACUUUAAGUCUCCUGAAGGAACGUUGAAGACGACGACGUUGAUAGGCCGGGUGUGUAAGCGCAGCGAUGCGUUGAGCUAACCGGUACUAAUGAACCGUGAGGCUUAACCUU
This 2900-nucleotide ribosomal RNA is filed under the name Klebsiella pneumoniae. RNAcentral's name for it is "bacterial LSU rRNA". It matches the Rfam family "Bacterial large subunit ribosomal RNA". The record is from RNAcentral. Lineage: Bacteria; Pseudomonadati; Pseudomonadota; Gammaproteobacteria; Enterobacterales; Enterobacteriaceae.